Molecule: ribosomal RNA, 489 nt
Filed under: uncultured bacterium
Lineage: Bacteria
Description: partial 16S ribosomal RNA
Rfam family: Bacterial small subunit ribosomal RNA
Source: RNAcentral
AUCGAACGCUGGCGGCAGGCCUAACACAUGCAAGUCGAACGGUAACAGGAAGAAGCUUGCUUCUUUGCUGACGAGUGGCGGACGGGUGAGUAAUGUCUGGGAAACUGCCUGAUGGAGGGGGAUAACUACUGGAAACGUAGCUAAUACCGCAUAACGUCGCAAGACCAAAGAGGGGGACCUUCGGGCCUCUUGCCAUCGGAUGUGCCCAGAUGGGAUUAGCUAGUAGGUGGGGUAACGGCUCACCUAGGCGACGAUCCCUAGCUGGUCUGAGAGGAUGACCAGACACACUGGAACUGAGACACGGUCCAGACUCCUACGGGAGGCAGCAGUGGGGAAUAUUGCACAAUGGGCGCAAGCCUGAUGCAGCCAUGCCGCGUGUAUGAAGAAGGCCUUCGGGUUGUAAAGUACUUUCAGCGGGGAGGAAGGGAGUAAAGUUAAUACCUUUGCUCAUUGACGUUACCCGCAGAAGAAGCACCGGCUAACUCCGUG